Long non-coding RNA from Lingula anatina, 1597 nucleotides. The record is from RefSeq and is a predicted model, not a curated record. Lineage: Eukaryota; Metazoa; Brachiopoda; Lingulata; Lingulida; Lingulidae.
CACGCGUCGCUGACAAUGAACCAACUCAAACGCAAUUUACUUGAAUGUGGUGCCAUAACAUCUGGAUGAAACUGUGAAUUGACUGAAAGGUUACCCAAAGAAGGCCCAUAUAUUGGGGGCAAAGCCUGAAACUGUCGAUUUCAGGACCCCAGGACAGCCAACUUCAAGAGCAGGAUUACUUCAGGAAUCUUACCCGUCACUUCACAUCAGCGGCAAAGAUUGAUGUAGCCACCAGUUAUGCCUACCCUAAAGCUGACUUACAGGCGGCUGUGAUGGACAACAACUAUUGCCAAGUGCCAUGAAAACAAUAAUGCAUGGAUAGAGGGAAUGAUGUAAGUGAAAACAGAGGUCUAAUAUUAAGAAUCAGGCCCAAAUAUGAGAAAGAAUUAUCAAACUAGGUGAUGUGUGACAUCAUAGAAAUAUAAAAUUGUAUCUUAACUAUUUAAUGCUGUAACCAUCUACCAUGCUUUAAUGGGAUAUGACUAUUUCAGGUUGAGGAACAAACAGCGAAGGACACUGAGCAUAGCAAGUUACAACAAGGAAAGAGCGCAAUCUGACACAAGGAGAGACAAUGGCGGAUCACUGCUUCCAGAUUUGGAGAGAUAAUGUCAGCUACAGAGAAGAAGUAUAUGAACAAACUGUAUGAAUAAUUGUUGUGUCCAAAACCAUUGCAGACACAUGACAGUUGGACCCGGACCCGAUUUCCCCUUUUUGGAAUGUGUAUCUCGUGCACGAAUCUGGGCCUAAAGAAAACCCGCGAAUACUAUACUAAGUUAGAAGGCCAGAUGUUCAUUACAAAUCGCCCAUUCUGCUAUUUUGCUGUGUUUACAUUCAAAGAUCUGUUUGUGGGGUUGAUUCAUUCUGACGCUGGAUAUUUUUCUACAUGUAUUUUGCCCAGGAUAACUUUUUUUAAUGAAAAACACUAUAGGAAGUAUGUGUCAACCAGUUUAUAGAAAGUACCCCUGUAUGAGAUGGUUUUAGCUGCAAUCAUAAUUUUGAAGUGCAAUUUUAAAAAAUGUUUUCACUAAAAUGAAAUAAUUUGGUGGUGCUAUAUUCUUUACAAAAAGUACUUAUGUGUUUAUGCUGUUUUUAAUAAUAUUUAACUGUAAUGAAAAAAAACCCAUGAUGCUAUUUUGUAAAGUAUUUUAGUGGGAUGAAAUAAAUUGCUAGUUGUAUUUACAGCAAAUAAUUUGGUUUUUCUGCUUUUUAAAGAAUUUUCAAAGUGAUGACAUAAUGUGGUGGUUCUAUUCAAGUAAAAUAAUUCAUAAGUACUAUUUUGUAAAAAGGAACAAAAAACUGUUAAUUUGUAAAAUGUUUGCUUUCUUUAAUUUUUAUUUCUUAAACUGUUACAAAAAGUUUUCCAUACCUACAGUAAUCCAUUGGCUGAGAAAUUGCAGCUAUAUAUUCAGGAAAGUUAUAGCACAAAUAAAUUAUCGAAGUAUUACAUGGUUUCAUGGUUUUUACUAUGGACUGAAUAAUUAUUUUGUUUAAAUAAAAUAUUUGGUUUUGCUGCUUUUUAAUGAAUUUUCAGAGCGAUGAAAUAAUAUGGUGUUUCUACUCAAGUAAAACAAUUCAGAAGUGCUAUUUUGUAAAAAAA